This 612-nucleotide ribosomal RNA is filed under the name uncultured bacterium. RNAcentral describes it as "bacterial SSU rRNA". It matches the Rfam family "Bacterial small subunit ribosomal RNA", at positions 143 to 750 of the family's 1533-position model. The record is from RNAcentral.
AUAACUACUGGAAACGGUAGCUAAUACCGCAUAACGUCGCAAGACCAAAGAGGGGGACCUUCGGGCCUCUUGCCAUCAGAUGUGCCCAGAUGGGAUUAGCUAGUAGGUGGGGUAACGGCUCACCUAGGCGACGAUCCCUAGCUGGUCUGAGAGGAUGACCAGCCACACUGGAACUGAGACACGGUCCAGACUCCUACGGGAGGCAGCAGUGGGGAAUAUUGCACAAUGGGCGCAAGCCUGAUGCAGCCAUGCCGCGUGUAUGAAGAAGGCCUUCGGGUUGUAAAGUACUUUCAGCGAGGAGGAAGGUGUUGAGGUUAAUAACCGCAGCAAUUGACGUUACCCGCAGAAGAAGCACCGGCUAACUCCGUGCCAGCAGCCGCGGUAAUACGGAGGGUGCAAGCGUUAAUCGGAAUUACUGGGCGUAAAGCGCACGCAGGCGGUCUGUCAAGUCGGAUGUGAAAUCCCCGGGCUCAACCUGGGAACUGCAUUCGAAACUGGCAGGCUAGAGUCUUGUAGAGGGGGGUAGAAUUCCAGGUGUAGCGGUGAAAUGCGUAGAGAUCUGGAGGAAUACCGGUGGCGAAGGCGGCCCCCUGGACAAAGACUGACGCUCAG